This 253-nucleotide ribosomal RNA is filed under the name uncultured bacterium. Its description in RNAcentral is "partial 16S ribosomal RNA". It matches the Rfam family "Bacterial small subunit ribosomal RNA", at positions 524 to 776 of the family's 1533-position model. The record is from RNAcentral.
UACGUAGGGUGCGAGCGUUGUCCGGAUUUAUUGGGCGUAAAGGGUGCGUAGGUGGUCGUUUAAGUCCGUUGUGAAAUCCCUGGGCUCAACCUGGGAAUGGCAGUGGAUACUGGACGGCUAGAAUGCGGUAGAGGGUAGUGGAAUUCCCGGUGUAGCAGUGAAAUGCGUAGAGAUCGGGAGGAACACCAGUGGCGAAGGCGGCUACCUGGACCAGCAUUGACACUCAAGCACGAAAGCGUGGGGAGCAAACAGG